AGAGCUCCCAUUUCUCUGCAGGGGCCAGGAGAGGACUGGAUAGGAAGCCUGGCUGGUGAAUGAUGCUUCUCAGGCAAGACUGAGACAAAUUUGGAGGCUCCUGUGUUGGUGCCCUGUAGCCUGGAGCCAAGCCACCGCAGACCUGGCUCCCCUUCACUUCAGGACUGCUGCAGAAAGCACUGGGUAUUUUUCCACUGGAGGAAGGCUUAGAGUGUAUGUGGUGAUAAAACUCCUCCUUGAAGAUGACUCAGCUGUUCUGAUCUUCUGCCAAAGUCCUAUUCAAGAGAGUUGAAGGAGGCUCCAGACAGGGAAGGUAGACUGCCUGCAGCGGGAAAGUUCUCUGCAAGAGCCUGUGUAUCAAAGUUUCAGAAGAAACCUAAGAAUUUCAGUCAAUUGGGAUGAAUGGAUACCAGUGGAUUGUCCAUGAUCUGAGAUCCGGAGUGGAAUUGCAGGAUUGUAUCCAAUUUAAAAAGUGGGCAGAGGACCUGAAG
Long non-coding RNA from Bos taurus (domestic cattle), 491 nucleotides. Lineage: Eukaryota; Metazoa; Chordata; Mammalia; Artiodactyla; Bovidae. The record is from Ensembl.